This 274-nucleotide ribosomal RNA is filed under the name uncultured bacterium. RNAcentral describes it as "partial 16S ribosomal RNA". It matches the Rfam family "Bacterial small subunit ribosomal RNA", at positions 523 to 796 of the family's 1533-position model. The record is from RNAcentral.
AUACGGAGGGUGCAAGCGUUAUUCGGAAUCACUGGGCGUAAAGGACGCGUAGGCGGGUUGGCAAGUCAGAUGUGAAAUCCUACAGCUUAACUGUAGAACUGCAUUUGAAACUGCUAACCUAGAGUAUGGGAGGGGGAGAUGGAAUUGGUGGUGUAGGGGUAAAAUCCGUAGAUAUCACUAGGAAUACCGAAAGCGAAGGUGAUCUCCUGGAACAUAACUGACGCUAAGGCGUGAAAGCGUGGGGAGCAAACAGGAUUAGAUACCCUAGUAGUCC